RNAcentral lists this ribosomal RNA (428 nucleotides) under Bacteroidota bacterium. RNAcentral describes it as "Bacteroidetes bacterium partial 16S ribosomal RNA". It matches the Rfam family "Bacterial small subunit ribosomal RNA", at positions 355 to 776 of the family's 1533-position model. Lineage: Bacteria; Pseudomonadati; Bacteroidota. The record is from RNAcentral.
UAGGGAAUCUUCGGCAAUGGGGGGAACCCUGACCGAGCAACGCCGCGUGAGUGAAGAAGGAUUUCGGUUCGUAAAACUCUGUUGUUAGAGAAGAACAGCGCAUAGAGUAACUGUUAUGCGUGUGACGGUAUCUAACCAGAAAGCCACGGCUAACUACGUGCCAGCAGCCGCGGUAAUACGUAGGUCCCGAGCGUUGUCCGGAUUUAUUGGGCGUAAAGCGAGCGCAGGCGGUUAGAAAAGUCUGAAGUGAAAGGCAGUGGCUCAACCAUUGUAGGCUUUGGAAACUGUUUAACUUGAGUGCAGAAGGGGAGAGUGGAAUUCCAUGUGUAGCGGUGAAAUGCGUAGAUAUAUGGAGGAACACCGGUGGCGAAAGCGGCUCUCUGGUCUGUAACUGACGCUGAGGCUCGAAAGCGUGGGGAGCGAACAGG